This 381-nucleotide unclassified non-coding RNA is filed under the name uncultured bacterium. RNAcentral describes it as "contains 16S-23S intergenic spacer region". The record is from RNAcentral.
UCCGACUUAACGUCGGCAGUCUCGUUAGAGUGCUCGGCCGAACCGUUAGCAACUAACGACAAGGGUUGCGCUCGUUGCGGGACUUAACCCAACAUCUCACGACACGAGCUGACGACAGCCAUGCAGCACCUGUGUUACGGCUCCCUUUCGGGCACACCCAGCUCUCGCUGGGCUUCCGUACAUGUCAAGGGUAGGUAAGGUUAUUCGCGUUGCAUCGAAUUAAUCCACAUCGUCCACCGCUUGUGCAGGCCCCCAUCAAUUCCUUUGAGUUUCGGUCUUGCGGCCGUACUCCCCAGGCGGGGUGCUUAAUGCGUUAGCUGCGGCACGGAGAACGUGGAAUGUUCCCCACACCUAGCACCCACCGUUUACGGCGUGGACUAC